Molecule: ribosomal RNA, 581 nt
Filed under: uncultured Glomus
Lineage: Eukaryota; Fungi; Glomeromycota; Glomeromycetes; Glomerales; Glomeraceae
Description: eukaryotic LSU rRNA
Rfam family: Eukaryotic large subunit ribosomal RNA
Source: RNAcentral
CAUGGAGGGUGAGAAUCCCGUCCGGUUGAUCAUUUGCGUUUUACGAUACGCUCUCUAAGAGUCAAGUUGUUUGGGAUUGCAGCUUUAAAUGGGAGGUAAAUUUCUCCUAAGGCUAAAUAACGGCGAGAGACCGAUAGCGAACAAGUACCGUGAGGGAAAGAUGAAAAGAACUUUGAAAAGAGAGUUAAACAGUACGUGAAAUUGUUGAAAGGGAAACGAUUGAAGCCAGUCGUACCUUCGGGUAAUCAGCCUUUCGGGUGCGAUUCUGUGGAGUGUGAGGAGCUUAACACCUUCAUGCUUUGCAUAUUUGUGCUCUUGGGUGUACUUGCCCGUGUGGUUGGUUAACAUCAAUUUUGAUUAUCAUAAAAUGACUGGAGGAAUGUAGCUUCGAUCUCGUAUUGAAGUGUUAUAGCCUUUGGUAGAUGUGAUGAUCGAGAUUGAGGAUUGCAACGGAUACCCUUCGGGGCUACCUGCCUGGUCUCUGAUCGUUGCUCUGGUGCCGAAAGCGUGCUUACGGUUAUCAAAGUCGAUGGUCAAUAGGUUAGAACGGGUUAAAUUCGUUAAGGAUGUUGACGUAAUGG